AUUGAACGCUAGCGGGAUGCUUUACACAUGCAAGUCGAACGGCAGCGCGGACUUCGGUCUGGCGGCGAGUGGCGAACGGGUGAGUAAUGUAUCGGAACGUGCCCAGUAGCGGGGGAUAACUACGCGAAAGCGUAGCUAAUACCGCAUACGCCCUACGGGGGAAAGCAGGGGAUCGUAAGACCUUGCACUAUUGGAGCGGCCGAUAUCGGAUUAGCUAGUUGGUGAGGUAACGGCUCACCAAGGCGACGAUCCGUAGCUGGUUUGAGAGGACGACCAGCCACACUGGGACUGAGACACGGCCCAGACUCCUACGGGAGGCAGCAGUGGGGAAUUUUGGACAAUGGGGGCAACCCUGAUCCAGCAAUCCCGCGUGUGCGAUGAAGGCCUUCGGGUUGUAAAGCACUUUUGGCAGGAAAGAAACGUCGCGGGCUAAUACCCCGUGGAACUGACGGUACCUGCAGAAUAAGCACCGGCUAACUACGUG
This 484-nucleotide ribosomal RNA is filed under the name uncultured bacterium. Its description in RNAcentral is "partial 16S ribosomal RNA". It matches the Rfam family "Bacterial small subunit ribosomal RNA", at positions 30 to 507 of the family's 1533-position model. The record is from RNAcentral.